AAUGAACGCUGGCGGCAUGCCUAACACAUGCAAGUCGAACGAGACCUUCGGGUCUAGUGGCGCACGGGUGCGUAACGCGUGGGAAUCUGCCCCUUGGUUCGGAAUAACUCAGAGAAAUUUGAGCUAAUACCGGAUAAUGACGUAAGUCCAAAGAUUUAUCGCCUAGGGAUGAGCCCGCGUAGGAUUAGCUAGUUGGUGGGGUAAAAGCCUACCAAGGCGACGAUCCUUAGCGGUCUGAGAGGAUGAUCAGCCACACUGGGACUGAGACACGGCCCAGACUCCUACGGGAGGCAGCAGUGGGGAAUAUUGGACAAUGGGCGAAAGCCUGAUCCAGCAAUGCCGCGUGAGUGAUGAAGGCCUUAGGGUUGUAAAGCUCUUUUACCCGGGAAGAUAAUGACUGUACCGGGAGAAUAAGCCCCGCUAACUCCGUGACAGCAGCCGCGGUAAC
This 448-nucleotide ribosomal RNA is filed under the name uncultured bacterium. RNAcentral describes it as "bacterial SSU rRNA". It matches the Rfam family "Bacterial small subunit ribosomal RNA", at positions 29 to 524 of the family's 1533-position model. The record is from RNAcentral.